UAUAACGACUCUCGGCAACGGAUAUCUCGGCUCUCGCAUCGAUGAAGAACGCAGCGAAAUGCGAUACUUGGUGUGAAUUGCAGAAUCCCGUGAACCAUCGAGUCUUUGAACGCAAGUUGCGCCCGAAGCCAUCCGGUCGAGGGCACGUCUGCCUGGGCGUCACACACC
RNAcentral lists this ribosomal RNA (168 nucleotides) under Maclura fruticosa. RNAcentral describes it as "5.8S ribosomal RNA". It matches the Rfam family "5.8S ribosomal RNA". From Rfam's summary of the family: 5.8S ribosomal RNA (5.8S rRNA) is a component of the large subunit of the eukaryotic ribosome. The record is from RNAcentral. Lineage: Eukaryota; Viridiplantae; Streptophyta; Magnoliopsida; Rosales; Moraceae.